RNAcentral lists this ribosomal RNA (501 nucleotides) under uncultured bacterium. Its description in RNAcentral is "partial 16S ribosomal RNA". It matches the Rfam family "Bacterial small subunit ribosomal RNA", at positions 30 to 523 of the family's 1533-position model. The record is from RNAcentral.
AUUGAACGCUGGCGGCAGGCUUAACACAUGCAAGUCGAGCGGGGGAAGGUAGCUUGCUACCGGACCUAGCGGCGGACGGGUGAGUAAUGCUUAGGAAUCUGCCUAUUAGUGGGGGACAACAUCUCGAAAGGGAUGCUAAUACCGCAUACGUCCUACGGGAGAAAGCAGGGGAUCACUUGUGACCUUGCGCUAAUAGAUGAGCCUAAGUCGGAUUAGCUAGUUGGGGGGGUAAAGGCCUACCAAGGCGACGAUCUGUAGCGGGUCUGAGAGGAUGCUCCGCCACACUGGGACUGAGACACGGCCCAGACUCCUACGGGAGGCAGCAGUGGGGAAUAUUGGACAAUGGGGGGAACCCUGAUCCAGCCAUGCCGCGUGUGUGAAGAAGGCCUUAUGGUUGUAAAGCACUUUAAGCGAGGAGGAGGCUCUUUUGGAAUACCCAAGAUGAGUGGACGUUACUCGCAGAAUAAGCACCGGCUAACUCUGUGCCAGCCGCCGCAGUAA